CAAGACCUUGCGCUUUUGGAGCGGCCGAUGUCUGAUUAGCUAGCUGGUGAGGUAAAGGCUUACCAAGGCGUCGAUCAGUAGCUGGUCUGAGAGGACGACCAGCCACACUGGGACUGAGACACGGCCCAGACUCCUACGGGAGGCAGCAGUGGGGAAUUUUGGACAAUGGGGGAAACCCUGAUCCAGCCAUGCCGAAUGAGUGAAGAAGGCCUUCGGGUUGUAAAGCUCUCAGCCGGACCGAAUCGGUCACGGCUAAUACCCGUGACAACUGACGGUACCGGAGGGAGAAGCACCGGCUAACUACGUGCCAGCAGCCGCGGUAAUACGUAGGGUGCGAGCGUUAAUCGGAAUUACUGGGCGUAAAGCGUGCGCAGGCGGUUUUGUAAGUCAGAUGUGAAAUCCCCGGGCUUAACCUGGGAACU
This 422-nucleotide ribosomal RNA is filed under the name uncultured Nitrosospira sp. RNAcentral describes it as "bacterial SSU rRNA". It matches the Rfam family "Bacterial small subunit ribosomal RNA", at positions 207 to 622 of the family's 1533-position model. Lineage: Bacteria; Pseudomonadati; Pseudomonadota; Betaproteobacteria; Nitrosomonadales; Nitrosomonadaceae. The record is from RNAcentral.